Molecule: transfer RNA, 73 nt
Filed under: Stegodyphus mimosarum
Lineage: Eukaryota; Metazoa; Arthropoda; Arachnida; Araneae; Eresidae
Rfam family: tRNA
About the family: Transfer RNA (tRNA) molecules are approximately 80 nucleotides in length. Their secondary structure includes four short double-helical elements and three loops (D, anti-codon, and T loops).
Source: Rfam by way of RNAcentral
GCCUUCGUGGUGUAGUGGUCAGCACACUGAGCCGGUAUUUCAGAGGUCCGUGGUUCGAUUCCCGGCUAAGGCG